CAGCAGCCACGGUAAAACGUAGGUGGCAAGCGUUGUCCGGAAUUAUUGGGCGUAAAGGGCUCGCAGGCGGUUUCUUAAGUCUGAUGUGAAAGCCCCCGGCUCAACCGGGGAGGGUCAUUGGAAACUGGGAAACUUGAGUGCAGAAGAGGAGAGUGGAAUUCCACGUGUAGCGGUGAAAUGCGUAGAGAUGUGGAGGAACACCAGUGGCGAAGGCGACUCUCUGGUCUGUAACUGACGCUGAGGAGCGAAAGCGUGGGGAGCGAACAGGAUUAGAUACCCCCGUAGUCCCUGUCUCUUAUAC
RNAcentral lists this ribosomal RNA (301 nucleotides) under uncultured bacterium. RNAcentral's name for it is "partial 16S ribosomal RNA". It matches the Rfam family "Bacterial small subunit ribosomal RNA", at positions 509 to 807 of the family's 1533-position model. The record is from RNAcentral.